This 133-nucleotide small nuclear RNA is filed under the name Octopus bimaculoides (California two-spot octopus). RNAcentral describes it as "U11 spliceosomal RNA". It matches the Rfam family "U11 spliceosomal RNA". Lineage: Eukaryota; Metazoa; Mollusca; Cephalopoda; Octopoda; Octopodidae. The record is from RNAcentral.
AAAAAGGGUCUUUGUCGUCAGUGACACCCAGUUGCCGAUUGCGAGCGUCUGGGUGGAAUCACGAUCAAAAGAUUUCGGAGACGCAAUUUUUAACAACGGGUGGCAGCUGUUGCUCUUUAAGCACGGCGCCCGG